GGGGCUGACUGGUUUUGACAGCGAGAUGAAUGUUUGUGUAAGCAAGCCGGGGUUUGAAUAGCACCUCGUCAAAACGUUGUUCAAAUUUUAACUGGCGAAACUUCUUACGCUCUUGCAGCUUAAUCAUCCGAUAGGAGAUUAGGCUUAAUUCCGGUAUUAGAUAUCGGAACAGGACGUCUUCGGUUCGGGUUUGUCUAUCCCCUGAGCUAAUGAAGGCGCGGUCGAUGAUAGAAUAGGAAUAAAGAUGCUUCGGCUUUAAUCCAAAACUUAAGAAGCUAAGUUAUUCUUAGCCUGCCUUUGGGCAGAGAAUAAUCGAAAACCUAAACAAUAGGCUAAGCUUGUAGAAAGCAUUCUCGUUCCUUGUUUGGACGUGGGUUCGACUCCCACCAGCUCCACAA
Molecule: transfer-messenger RNA, 398 nt
Filed under: Flavobacteriales bacterium
Lineage: Bacteria; Pseudomonadati; Bacteroidota; Flavobacteriia; Flavobacteriales
Also listed under: 1 other name
Rfam family: transfer-messenger RNA
About the family: Bacterial tmRNA, also known as 10Sa RNA or SsrA, is named for its dual tRNA and mRNA-like properties. Its role is to liberate the mRNA from a stalled ribosome.
Source: RNAcentral